RNAcentral lists this ribosomal RNA (462 nucleotides) under Nocardia mexicana. RNAcentral's name for it is "bacterial SSU rRNA". It matches the Rfam family "Bacterial small subunit ribosomal RNA", at positions 28 to 507 of the family's 1533-position model. Lineage: Bacteria; Bacillati; Actinomycetota; Actinomycetes; Mycobacteriales; Nocardiaceae. The record is from RNAcentral.
GACGAACGCUGGCGGCGUGCUUAACACAUGCAAGUCGAGCGGUAAGGCCCUUCGGGGUACACGAGCGGCGAACGGGUGAGUAACACGUGGGUGAUCUGCCUCGUACUCUGGGAUAAGCCUGGGAAACUGGGUCUAAUACCGGAUAUGACCACAUGUCGCAUGGUGUGUGGUGGAAAGAUUUAUCGGUGCGAGAUGGGCCCGCGGCCUAUCAGCUUGUUGGUGGGGUAACGGCCUACCAAGGCGACGACGGGUAGCCGACCUGAGAGGGUGAUCGGCCACACUGGGACUGAGACACGGCCCAGACUCCUACGGGAGGCAGCAGUGGGGAAUAUUGCACAAUGGGCGGAAGCCUGAUGCAGCGACGCCGCGUGCGGGAUGACGGCCUUCGGGUUGUAAACCGCUUUCGACAGGGACGAAGCGUGAGUGACGGUACCUGUAGAAGAAGCACCGGCCAACUACGUG